Molecule: ribosomal RNA, 443 nt
Filed under: uncultured bacterium
Lineage: Bacteria
Description: partial 16S ribosomal RNA
Rfam family: Bacterial small subunit ribosomal RNA
Source: RNAcentral
CCUACGGGAGGCAGCAGUGGGGAAUAUUGGGCAAUGGGCGCAAGCCUGACCCAGCAACGCCGCGUGAAGGAAGAAGGCUUUCGGGUUGUAAACUUCUUUUCUCAGGGACGAAGAAAGUGACGGUACCUGAGGAAUAAGCCACGGCUAACUACGUGCCAGCAGCCGCGGUAAUACGGAGGUUGCAAGCGUUAUCCGGAUUUACUGGGUGUAAAGGGCGUGUAGGCGGGAAAGCAAGUCAGAUGUGAAAACCAUGGGCUCAACCUGUGGCCUGCAUUUGAAACUGUUUUUCUUGAGUACUGGAGAGGCAGACGGAAUUCCUCGUGUAGCGGUGAAAUGCGUAGAUAUGAGGAGGAACACCAGUGGCGAAGGCGGUCUGCUGGACAGCAACUGACGCUGAGGCGCGAAAGCGUGGGGAGCAAACAGGAUUAGAUACCCGGGUAGUC